GACGAACGCUGGCGGCGUGCUUAACACAUGCAAGUCGAACGGUAAGGCCCUUCUGGUUACACGAGUGCCAAACGGGUGAGUGACACUUGCGUGAUCUUCCCUUCACCUCGGGAUUAGCCUGGCAAACUGGAACUAAUGCUGAUUACGGCCAGAAGCCCCAGCUCCUUGGGGGGGGCUCGUAUGCUUCGGCGGUUGGGGGUGCGGCCGAUCAUCUUGUUGGUGUGGUGGUGGUCUACCAAGGCGACGACGGUAAGCCGGCCCGGGAGGGUGGCCGGCAACACUGGGACUGAGAUAGGGCCCAGGCUACUACGGGAGGCAGCAGUGGGGAAAACUGCACAGUGGGCGAAAGACUGAGGCAGCGACGCAGCGUGGGGGAUGACGGCCGUGGGGUUGUAAACCUCUUUCAACACCGCUGAAGGUCCGGGUGUUCUCGGGCUGACGGUAGGUGGAGAAGAAGCACCGGCCAACUACGUG
Molecule: ribosomal RNA, 474 nt
Filed under: uncultured bacterium
Lineage: Bacteria
Description: partial 16S ribosomal RNA
Rfam family: Bacterial small subunit ribosomal RNA
Source: RNAcentral